This 124-nucleotide microRNA precursor is filed under the name Hordeum vulgare. RNAcentral's name for it is "microRNA MIR1122". It matches the Rfam family "MIR1120/MIR1122 microRNA precursor family". The record is from RNAcentral. Lineage: Eukaryota; Viridiplantae; Streptophyta; Magnoliopsida; Poales; Poaceae.
UAUAUACUCCCUCCGUCCGGAAAUACUUGUCCUAGAAAUAGAUGUAUCUAGACUUAUUUUAGUUAUAGAUACAUUCAUUUUAUACAUUUCUAGGACAAGUAUUUCCGGACGAAGGGAGUAUAUC